RNA transcript from Jatropha curcas, 1108 nucleotides. It is a transcript of the gene named defective in cullin neddylation protein (DUF298), with no coding region annotated. NCBI's taxonomy places the organism in Eukaryota, Viridiplantae, Streptophyta, Magnoliopsida, Malpighiales, Euphorbiaceae. The record is from RefSeq and is a predicted model, not a curated record.
AAAUAAAAUAAAAUUAAAAAAAAUUAAAAGAAGAAGAAGAGGAAGAAGCCAAAACAAAAUUCAGAGUAGUUAAUACUUGUUAAAUUCUCAUUCUCCUUUCUUUUUCCCUCUGGAAAUUGGAGCUGAGCAUCAGCUUUAGAGAGCUACGAAGCUUCCUUUAGCUGGCUCUCUAUCUCGAGAUGCGUCGCUCUGCAGCCAGGAAAACGGGUCAAUCCAAUUCCACGGCUCCGAUCACUUCUUCAGCUGCGGAUCUUUUUCGCUCCGCCUCAAGUAAAGCAUCUUCGAAAGAGAUGGAGCGAAUUGAUAACCUAUUUUAUUCCUAUGCAAAUAGGUCUUCUGGUAUGAUUGAUCCAGAAGGAAUUGAAACCCUAUGUUCAGACAUGGAGGUUGAUCAUACUGAUGUUAGGAUCUUGAUGCUAGCUUGGAAAAUGAAAGCUGAAAAACAGGGAUACUUUACGCUGGAGGAGUGGCGCAGAGGUCUUAAAGCGCUGAGAGCUGAUACUGUGAGUAAAUUAAAAAAGGCGCUUCCAGAGCUAGAGAAAGAGGUCAAGAGGCCGUCAAACUUUGUGGAUUUCUAUUCCUAUGCAUUCCGAUAUUGCCUGACAGAGGAGAAACAAAAGAGUAUUGACAUAGAGAGCAUCUGUCAGUUAGUGGAUCUUGUUUUAGGAUCUCACUUCCGUGCUCAAGUUGAUUAUUUCAUCGAGUAUUUAAAGAUUCAAAAUGAUUAUAAGGUCAUAAACAUGGAUCAGUGGAUGGGCUUUUAUCGUUUUUGCAAUGAGAUAAGUUUUCCAGAUCUUAGUAAUUACGAUCCAGAACUUGCUUGGCCAUUGAUCUUGGAUAAUUUUGUAGAAUGGAUGCGAGAAAAAAGGACUUAAAAAACCUACUGUCUGUGUCGACACGAUUCUCUACUGUAAACCAUCUUUUAUUAUUGAAGACUGUUCAAACCACAAGCAUGCAUUAAACUCUCCCAGCAACUUUUAAUUUUCACCUCUUUUUUAUUUUCUCUUUUGUUAAAAUUACUCAGAUUUUGAUUGUUUGGAAAAAAUUCGAAAUUUAUCUAAUUGUCACUGUUAAUGCAGCUUAUGUAAAUGAUGUUGAAAUUACUAAA